Non-coding RNA from Mytilinidion resinicola, 102 nucleotides. The record is from the annotation of a RefSeq genome assembly. Lineage: Eukaryota; Fungi; Ascomycota; Dothideomycetes; Mytilinidiales; Mytilinidiaceae.
UCCGGUGUGGUUUAGUUGGUUAUAAUACAUAUUUUAACACCGCUUGGCUCACCCCUUGCGGUACUAAAAGUUGAGACCCAAGUUCGAUCCUUGGCGCCGGAC